Molecule: non-coding RNA, 221 nt
Filed under: Allocoprococcus comes
Lineage: Bacteria; Bacillati; Bacillota; Clostridia; Lachnospirales; Lachnospiraceae
Description: Coprococcus comes T-box sequence
Rfam family: T-box leader
About the family: Uncharged tRNA acts as the effector for transcription antitermination of genes in the T-box leader family. T-boxes are found upstream of many aminoacyl-tRNA synthetase genes and some amino acid biosynthetic genes usually in Gram-positive bacteria. The anticodon of a specific tRNA base pairs to a specifier sequence within the T-box motif, and the NCCA acceptor tail of the tRNA base pairs to a conserved bulge in the T-box antiterminator hairpin.
Source: RNAcentral
AUAAAAGCAAUGACCGUGUAAGUAGUGAACUGUUUUCCGACAGAGAAGGAGAAUCCCCGGCUGUAAGUUCUCCCCGGUUCAGGCAGGAAACGAAUUUCCCACGUGAGCUGCGUUUUUGAAAAUAAAGUAGAAAACGACGUCCCUGCACGUUACGCAGUCCGAGUGCCUGUUAUUCAAAUAGCAGGAAACAGGGUGGUACCGCGAUUUAUCUCGUCCCUUUU